RNAcentral lists this non-coding RNA (25 nucleotides) under Cricetulus griseus (Chinese hamster). The record is from RNAcentral. Lineage: Eukaryota; Metazoa; Chordata; Mammalia; Rodentia; Cricetidae.
CUCUGGAUCGAUUACAAUGCAAAAC